AGUAACACGUAAGUAACCUGCCCAGAAGUGGGGAAUAACCCACCGAAAGGUGAGCUAAUACCGCAUGUGAUGGUCCUUCCCUGGAGGGGUCAUUAAAGGCUUAGGUCGCUUCUGGAGGGGCUUGCGGCCGAUUAGCUAGUUGGUGGGGUAAUGGCCUACCAAGGCAACGAUCGGUAGCUGGUCUGAGAGGAUGGUCAGCCACACGGGGACUGAGAUACGGCCCCGACUCCUACGGGAGGCAGCAGCUAGGAAUAUUGGGAAUGGGCGAAAGCCUGACCCAGCAACGCCGCGUGAGCGAUGAAGGCNUUAGGGUUGUAAAGCUCUUUUGCGAGGGACGAUGAUGACGGUACCUCGCGAAUAAGCCACGGCUAA
This 372-nucleotide ribosomal RNA is filed under the name uncultured bacterium. Its description in RNAcentral is "bacterial SSU rRNA". It matches the Rfam family "Bacterial small subunit ribosomal RNA", at positions 109 to 500 of the family's 1533-position model. The record is from RNAcentral.